RNAcentral lists this long non-coding RNA (373 nucleotides) under Nicotiana benthamiana. Its description in RNAcentral is "long non-coding RNA (NBEN_LNC035083)". The record is from RNAcentral. Lineage: Eukaryota; Viridiplantae; Streptophyta; Magnoliopsida; Solanales; Solanaceae.
AUUGAUUGAUGCACAUUCAUCCUCAUCAGGCACCGUUGAUUUAUGUUUAUUAGUGCAAGGUUCUCCGUAUAUUAUAUAGGUUAAGGAGAUGAAUACAGAUAAUCGCUCCAACAUUUCCAACUAGAGACAUCUUUUGCAGCUAAUAUUAAAUGUUAAACAGUACAAAGUCCAUCAUAUAAUAAAGAUACGACUACUCCUACAUUUCUUGUGCUUAGCUUACUUAGUGAGGAUUUAGAUAUGAACCAAUAUAGUUACUGCAUUCACCAGUUACCUCUUCUACGAGAUUUAUGCAUUCCUAUUGGUCGAAACAAGGAGGAAAAUAUGGCAUCGGAAGAUUAUUUAAUACUCCAUUUUGCUGUAGGUUCAAAUCUUG